RNAcentral lists this ribosomal RNA (519 nucleotides) under Eucnemidae sp. UPOL 001333. RNAcentral describes it as "partial 16S ribosomal RNA". The stretch from base 384 to 519 matches the Rfam family "Archaeal large subunit ribosomal RNA", at positions 2542 to 2679 of the family's 2987-position model. Lineage: Eukaryota; Metazoa; Arthropoda; Insecta; Coleoptera; Eucnemidae. The record is from RNAcentral.
CAUGUUUUUUUGAUUUAUGAUUUAAAAUUUAAUCUGCCCAUAUGAUUUUAUAUUUAAUGGCCGCAGUAUUUUGACUGUGCAAAGGUAGCGUGAUAAUUAGUUUCUUAAUUGGGAGCUGGUAUGAAUGAUUAGACGAGAAAGAUUCUGUCUUUAUUUUAAGAAUUAAAUUUUAUUUUUUAGUUAAAAAGCUUAAAUAAUUUUAAGGGACGAGAAGACCCUAUAGAGUUUUAUAUAAUUAUUUAUUUUUAUUGUUGGUAUUUUUUAUUAAAUAUUUAUUUGUAUUUAAUUGGGGUGAUUAGAAGAUUAGUUUAAUUCUUUUUUUAUUAAACAAUGAUUUUUGAUUUUUUGAUCUAUAUUUAAUUGAAAGUUUAAAUUACCUUAGGGAUAACAGCGUAAUUUUUUAUAGAGUUCUUAUCAAAAUAAGAGAUUGCGACCUCGAUGUUGGAUUAAAAUUAAUUUAAGGUGAAGAAGCUUUAAGUUUAGGUCUGUUCGACCUUUAAUAUUUUACAUGAUCUGAGU